Long non-coding RNA from Gadus morhua (Atlantic cod), 299 nucleotides. RefSeq lists it as uncharacterized. The record is from RefSeq and is a predicted model, not a curated record. The transcript has 3 exons. NCBI's taxonomy places the organism in Eukaryota, Metazoa, Chordata, Actinopteri, Gadiformes, Gadidae.
GUUUUUGGAGGAUUGCUACUUAAGGGAGAAAAUCGGCGACAGCGACGCCUUUGGUCAAGGGGUGUCAUAACCAAACCACGAUCAAAAGAGGAGGACGUCCGAAAAUAGCCCUAUAGUAAAUAUUUAACAUGUUGAAAUCUAUGGCAACAAUCAAGAGGUCAAUUCGAGAUGAAACAAUGAGAUUUACACAUUGAUGAUGGACACGAGGCACCCAAAUGUCACCAGUCAUAACCGGGCUAUUAAUGAAAACAGUUGUGACUGCCUGGCACCAAACAACCAUUCCUGGAUUCCUGACUGCU